UAGGGAAUCUUCGGCAAUGGACGAAAGUCUGAUGGAGCAACGCCGCGUGAGUGAAGAAGGUUUUCGGAGCGUAAAACUCUGUUGUUAGAGAAGAACAAGGACGUGAGUAACUGAACGUCCCCUGACGGUAUCUAACCAGAAAGCCACGGCUAACUACGUGCCAGCAGCCGCGGUAAUACGUAGGUGGCAAGCGUUGUCCGGAUUUAUUGGGCGUAAAGUGAGCGAAGGCGGUUUCUUACGUCUGAUGUGAAAGCCCCCGGCUCAACCGGGGAGGGUCAUUGGAAACUGGGAGACUUGAGUGCAGAAGAGGAGAGUGGAAUUCCAUGUGUAGCGGUGAAAUGCGUAGAUAGGAGGAGGACCACCAGUGGCGAAGGCGGCUCUCUGGUCUAUUACUGACGCUGAGGCUCGAAAGCGUGGGGAGCAAACAGG
Molecule: ribosomal RNA, 429 nt
Filed under: Gemmatimonadota bacterium
Lineage: Bacteria; Pseudomonadati; Gemmatimonadota
Description: Gemmatimonadetes bacterium partial 16S ribosomal RNA
Rfam family: Bacterial small subunit ribosomal RNA
Source: RNAcentral